UUACAGAUUGCAACAUGUAGCAUGCCAGGAGACUUAAGUCAGUGGGUUAUGAAGCAUUACGACCCUGAAAUUUCCCAACUGGUCAACCCAGAGAGGGGCAAGAUUCCAGUAGAUGCAACAAGUGUUCACAGGAUUUGGGGUCUGCCAAACAAGGGGAGGAAGGUUUGCUAUGAGAAGAGAGCAGAUUACACAUCCCAAAUGAACACAAUCUUCAAUAUUAACACCAAAGGCUCACCAACACUAACAGCUUGGUGCAAAAUGAUUAAGGAUAUGGCUGGGGUAGCAGAUAACAAUUUCCUACGUGCUUGGUUGGCGGUCGCCUUCUCCUGUUUCCUUGCUCCUACCACAAGUUUGAACAUAUCCCCACGGUGUUUUCCUGUUGUGAUGCAUGUGGAUGCGAUAACGGAGACCAAUGUGUGCCAAUUUGUAGUUGAUCAAAUUAAAUUGGCAUUCAUGGGAGCAGGUGAUAAAAAUGCAGUCUGUUGUUGCGUCAUGCAUUUAGUUGUACGUCUAACUUGCUCUUUGUCCCUUUUUCAUAGUUUCUCAUCUAGUUUCUCUAGUUGUUUAUUGGACUCAUUUUUCUUUUUCUUUUUUGUUUUUUGCCUCGUGCAGCUCCUAUAUCUGGACUCAUUGGAUGUGGACGAACCCAUCGCAAGCACGGGUCCAAGAGUGUCGGUUUGGAAUUCUGAUCUUAUUUCCAAGGUCAUUAAGAAGGACAAAAAUGGCCGAGGGGAGUUUGGCAAGUUGUGGGUAAGUUUCCUCUUAUUUUCGUGA
This 774-nucleotide ribosomal RNA is filed under the name Triticum aestivum (bread wheat). Its description in RNAcentral is "partial small subunit ribosomal RNA". The record is from RNAcentral. Lineage: Eukaryota; Viridiplantae; Streptophyta; Magnoliopsida; Poales; Poaceae.